RNAcentral lists this ribosomal RNA (1456 nucleotides) under uncultured bacterium. Its description in RNAcentral is "bacterial SSU rRNA". It matches the Rfam family "Bacterial small subunit ribosomal RNA". The record is from RNAcentral.
GAGUUUGAUCCUGGCUCAGAACGAACGCUGGCGGCAGGCCUAACACAUGCAAGUCGAGCGCGCCCUUCGGGGUGAGCGGCGGACGGGUUAGUAACGCGUGGGAACGUGCCCUUCUCUAAGGAAUAACCAUUGGAAACGAUGACUAAUGCCUUAUGCGCCCUUCGGGGGAAAGAUUUAUCGGAGAAGGAUCGGCCCGCGUUAGAUUAGAUAGUUGGUGGGGUAAUGGCCUACCAAGUCUACGAUCUAUAGCUGGUUUUAGAGGAUGAUCAGCAACACUGGGACUGAGACACGGCCCAGACUCCUACGGGAGGCAGCAGUGGGGAAUCUUGGACAAUGGGCGCAAGCCUGAUCCAGCCAUGCCGCGUGAGUGAUGAAGGCCUUAGGGUCGUAAAGCUCUUUCGCCAGGGAUGAUAAUGACAGUACCUGGUAAAGAAACCCCGGCUAACUCCGUGCCAGCAGCCGCGGUAAUACGGAGGGGGUUAGCGUUGUUCGGAAUUACUGGGCGUAAAGCGCACGUAGGCGGAUCAGCAAGUUGGGGGUGAAAUCCCGGGGCUCAACCCCGGAACUGCCUCCAAAACUGUUGGUCUUGAGUUCGAGAGAGGUGAGUGGAAUUCCGAGUGUAGAGGUGAAAUUCGUAGAUAUUCGGAGGAACACCAGUGGCGAAGGCGGCUCACUGGCUCGAUACUGACGCUGAGGUGCGAAAGUGUGGGGAGCAAACAGGAUUAGAUACCCUGGUAGUCCACACCGUAAACGAUGAAUGCCAGACGUCGGGCAGCAUGCUGUUCGGUGUCACACCUAACGGAUUAAGCAUUCCGCCUGGGGAGUACGGUCGCAAGAUUAAAACUCAAAGGAAUUGACGGGGGCCCGCACAAGCGGUGGAGCGUGUGGUUUAAUUCGAAGCAACGCGCAGAACCUUACCAACCCUUGACAUCCUAGGACAACUCCAGAGAUGGAGCCUUCCUUCGGGACCUAGUGACAGGUGCUGCAUGGCUGUCGUCAGCUCGUGUCGUGAGAUGUUCGGUUAAGUCCGGCAACGAGCGCAACCCACAUCCCUAGUUGCCAGCAGGUCAAGCUGGGCACUCUAUGGAAACUGCCCGUGAUAAGCGGGAGGAAGGUGUGGAUGACGUCAAGUCCUCAUGGCCCUUACGGGUUGGGCUACACACGUGCUACAAUGGUAGUGACAAUGGGUUAAUCCCCAAAAGCUAUCUCAGUUCGGAUUGUUCUCUGCAACUCGAGAGCUUGAAGUCGGAAUCGCUAGUAAUCCCGGAUCAGCAUGCCGGGGUGAAUGCGUUCCCGGGCCUUGUACACACCGCCCGUCACACCACGAAAGUUGGUUCUACCCGAAACCAGUGAGCUAACCAGCAAUGGAGGCAGCUGUCUACGGUGGGGCUGAUGAUUGGGGUGAAGUCGUAACAAGGUAGCCGUAGGGGAACCUGCGGCUGGAUCACCUCCUUCU